This 253-nucleotide ribosomal RNA is filed under the name uncultured bacterium. RNAcentral describes it as "partial 16S ribosomal RNA". It matches the Rfam family "Bacterial small subunit ribosomal RNA", at positions 524 to 776 of the family's 1533-position model. The record is from RNAcentral.
UACGUAGGGUGCGAGCGUUAAUCGGAAUUACUGGGCGUAAAGCGCGCGCAGGCGGCGGUGCUGGCCCGGCGUGAAAGCCCCCGGCUCAACCGGGGAGAGUCGUCGGGGACCGCACCGCUUGAGGGCGGUAGGGGCUGGUGGAAUGCCUGGUGUAGUGGUGAAAUGCGUAGAGAUCAGGCAGAACACCUGGGGCGAAGGCGGCCAGCUGGGCCGUCCCUGACGCUGAGGCGCGAAGGCGUGGGGAGCGAACGGG